GUGCCUAAUACAUGCAAGUAGAACGCUGAAGGAGGAGCUUGCUCUUCUGGAUGAGUUGCGAACGGGUGAGUAACGCGUAGGUAACCUGCCUGGUAGCGGGGGAUAACUAUUGGAAACGAUAGCUAAUACCGCAUAAUAGCAGUUGUUGCAUGACAACUGUUUAAAAGGUGCAAUUGCACCACUACCAGAUGGACCUGCGUUGUAUUAGCUAGUUGGUGGGGUAACGGCUCACCAAGGCGACGAUAUAUAGCCGACCUGAGAGGGUGAUCGGCCACACUGGGACUGAGACACGGCCCAGACUCCUACGGGAGGCAGCAGUAGGGAAUCUUCGGCAAUGGACGGAAGUCUGACCGAGCAACGCCGCGUGAGUGAAGAAGGUUUUCGGAUCGUAAAGCUCUGUUGUAAGAGAAGAACGAGUGUGAGAGUGGAAAGUUCACACUGUGACGGUAUCUUACCAGAAAGGGACGGCUAACUACGUGCCAGCAGCCGCGGUAAUACGUAGGUCCCGAGCGUUGUCCGGAUUUAUUGGGCGUAAAGCGAGCGCAGGCGGUUAGAUAAGUCUGAAGUUAAAGGCUGUGGCUUAACCAUAGU
This 591-nucleotide ribosomal RNA is filed under the name uncultured Bacilli bacterium. Its description in RNAcentral is "bacterial SSU rRNA". It matches the Rfam family "Bacterial small subunit ribosomal RNA", at positions 44 to 619 of the family's 1533-position model. The record is from RNAcentral. Lineage: Bacteria; Bacillati; Bacillota; Bacilli.